ACGAACGCUGGCGGCGUGCUUCACACAUGCAAGUCGAACGGAAAGGCCCUGCUUUUGUGGGGUGCUCGAGUGGCGAACGGGUGAGUAACACGUGAGUAACCUGCCCUUGACUUUGGGAUAACUUCAGGAAACUGGGGCUAAUACCGGAUAGGAGCCCCUGCUGCAUGGUGGGGGUUGGAAAGUUUCGGCGGUUGGGGAUGGACUCGCGGCUUAUCAGCUUGUUGGUGGGGUAGUGGCUUACCAAGGCUUUGACGGGUAGCCGGCCUGAGAGGGUGACCGGCCACAUUGGGACUGAGAUACGGCCCAGACUCCUACGGGAGGCAGCAGUGGGGAAUAUUGCACAAUGGGCGGAAGCCUGAUGCAGCAACGCCGCGUGCGGGAUGACGGCCUUCGGGUUGUAAACCGCUUUCGCCUGUGACGAAGCGUGAGUGACGGUAAUGGGUAAAGAAGCACCGGCUAACUACGUG
RNAcentral lists this ribosomal RNA (467 nucleotides) under uncultured bacterium. RNAcentral describes it as "partial 16S ribosomal RNA". It matches the Rfam family "Bacterial small subunit ribosomal RNA", at positions 29 to 507 of the family's 1533-position model. The record is from RNAcentral.